GGGGGCGACCUGGUUUCGACGGGGGUUGCGAAGCGGAUGAGGGCAUACCGGGAUUUCAGUCACCCCGUAAAACGCUGAAUUUAUAUAGUCGCAAACGACGAAACUUACGCUCUGGCCGCUUAAUUGCGCCAGACACUGCAACGGUUCGCUGAUGGGCCGGGUGGGUCAAAUCACUGCAGUGUCACUUUACAUCAGCUAGCUCUGUGUCGGGUCGCUUGACCCAGGGCGAAACUCAAGGCGACUCGCCUAUGCUCAGCCUGCCCGUCGGCGGAGUAGCAGGUCAAAUCCAAACGACACGGCUAAGUAUGUAGAACUCACCGUAGAGGAUUUCCGGACGCGGGUUCGAUUCCCGCCGCCUCCACCA
Crenobacter luteus is the source of this 364-nucleotide non-coding RNA. Lineage: Bacteria; Pseudomonadati; Pseudomonadota; Betaproteobacteria; Neisseriales; Neisseriaceae. The record is from Rfam.